Molecule: transfer RNA, 62 nt
Filed under: Dicrocoelium dendriticum
Lineage: Eukaryota; Metazoa; Platyhelminthes; Trematoda; Plagiorchiida; Dicrocoeliidae
Description: tRNA-Leu
Source: RNAcentral
UAGUUAGAGGUGCCAGAUUAGAUGGGGUUGAUUUAGGAUUAAUUUAUGGGUUAUUCCUCUCU